CAGUCGCCGCGGGAAUACGAAGGGGGCUGGCGUUGUUCGGAUUAACUGGGCGUAAAGGGCGCGUAGGCGGGUUUUUAAGUCAGAGGUGAAAUCCCAAGGCUCAACCUUGGAACUGCCUUUGAUACUGGAAGUCUUGAGUCCGGGAGAGGUGAGUGGAACUGCGAGUGUAGAGGUGAAAUUCGUAGAUAUUCGCAAGAACACCAGUGGCGAAGGCGGCUCACUGGCCCGGUACUGACGCUGAGGCGCGAAAGCGUGGGGAGCAAACAGGAUUAGAUACCCCAGUAGUCCCUGUCUCUUAUAC
RNAcentral lists this ribosomal RNA (301 nucleotides) under uncultured bacterium. RNAcentral describes it as "partial 16S ribosomal RNA". It matches the Rfam family "Bacterial small subunit ribosomal RNA", at positions 509 to 807 of the family's 1533-position model. The record is from RNAcentral.